UCUGCUGUUGUAUUUCUAUGAAGAAAACAAUUUUUAUAUAGAAUUUUUACAUCAUAAAAACUUAAAAAUAGAAUUUGGUGCAAGUAAUUGCGGACAUUUUCUUGACAUAUCACUAUUAUUUGCUUUUACCAAAAUAUCAUUGGUUUUUAAUGGUUUAAAUUGCGAGUGUACCAAAAAAACAUUGUGACAUCCAAUCACAAUAAUUUUCUCUAAUUUUUUUUCCCAUGUUCCUUUUAUUUCACUGUUGAAGUUGCAAAGAAGUAUCAUAUUACAAAAAUAGAGAAACCGGGAGAAUCUUUCCCUCGUGGGUUCAAGCAAUAGAAGCCAUUAGCCAUUGAUAAUUUGUUCAGAAGGACAAAAAUGAGUCACCUCAUAUGCCCACGUCUAUUCCUACGAAAACUAGUAAUCCGGUAUGUACCACACAAACCCUUAAUAAUUUAUUCAACAAAUUGACGACUCAUAUGUUUUUGCCCCCACCAAAUAAACCCAGGUAAUUACGAGAAAACACCCCAAUGUUGGAAAAGAAAGAAAAAAAGAAGAAAGCAAAGUACUAAUUUGACAAAUACAAGAAAAAUGAUUAGGCACUUGAUAUGGUGUGAUACAAGGAAUGGGAAUGGGAAUGAGGUGA
This 628-nucleotide long non-coding RNA is filed under the name Gossypium barbadense (sea-island cotton). RNAcentral's name for it is "long non-coding RNA (GBAR_LNC015884)". Lineage: Eukaryota; Viridiplantae; Streptophyta; Magnoliopsida; Malvales; Malvaceae. The record is from RNAcentral.